GAUCAAUUUUCUCUCAGGAGGCUCCUCAUUGACUCAUGCAAACAGAUUUCUGGCAGGAACUGCUCCAAAGCCUUCCAGAUGUUCACAGGCAUGGAUGAAUCAGAGCAAAAAUGGACAGAUGCAACUGAAAUGGAGGGUUCUGCUAUAAUCUCAAUCCGUACCCAGGCUGGAGUGCAGUGGCAUGAUCUUGGCUCACUGCAACCUCUGCCUCCCAGGUUCAAGCGAUUCUCCUGCCUCAGCCUCUCGAGUAGCUGGGAUUACAGGCAACUACCAUUUAUCCCCCCUCUGUCUUUCUGUGUUCACCUGACAAGCUCCUGGUGGUAGCCAAUAGCUCUGACAGAGAGUGACAGAAAUAAGGGGCGGGUUUAGCUGAUAACCUCACCAGUCUUCACUUCGACUCUUCCUUCACUGCCCCUUCAGUUGUGCGGACCUUCCUUUUGGGCAUCUUGGCAGCAGGGAGGGCGCCUGAGUGUACUGGUGCCGGCAGGCUUUGAGCACGGGGAGCCUUCUUGAAGCAGGGCUGCCUGGCCACUUGGAAAAAGGUGGAUUAAUUUGGGAUAUCCGAGGAGCCCCAGAGGGCCAUUGUAAUUCAAGAUCUUCAGUAAAGUUUUGCCACGGAGAAAGAACCAGGCCAGUAUUGGGACCAUGGUGGUGGCGCAGGAUUGGAGGAACAGAGGUUUCAGUUGACUGAGAAGUUCCUGUGAGAGAAACAGCCUGAAAUAGGGAGAACAGAAAGAUGUCGUGAGGAGUCAGGAAAGAAAAUUUUCCAGGGGUCAGGGUAUGAAUUCCAAUCAGAACAAGGAGCCAGCAAGAACUUCCAGCCUAGGAGGUACUUUUCAAAAGAAGCCUGGGACUCUAACCCAGCUUCCGAGAGUAUACUCAGAAUUUUAAGAAUCAGGCGGGGCGCGGUGGCUCAUGCCUGUAAUCCCACACUUUGGAGGCUGAGGCGGGCGGAUCACCUGAGGUCGGGAGUGUGAGAUCAGCCUGAUUAAUAAGAUGAAGCCCCAUCUCUACUAAAAAAAUACAAAAUUAGCUGGGCAUCGUAGUGCACGCCUGUAAUCCCAGCUACUUGGGAGGCUUAGGCAGGAGAAUUGCUUGAACCCGGGAGGUGGAGGUUGCAGUGAGCCGGGAGGUGGAGGUUGCAGUGAGCCAAGAUCGCGCCAUUGCACUCCAGCCUGGGCAACAAGAGUGAAACUCUGCCUGGG
Rhinopithecus roxellana (golden snub-nosed monkey) is the source of this 1205-nucleotide long non-coding RNA. RefSeq lists it as uncharacterized. The transcript has 5 exons. The record is from RefSeq and is a predicted model, not a curated record. Lineage: Eukaryota; Metazoa; Chordata; Mammalia; Primates; Cercopithecidae.